Molecule: long non-coding RNA, 19960 nt
Filed under: Citrus maxima (pomelo)
Lineage: Eukaryota; Viridiplantae; Streptophyta; Magnoliopsida; Sapindales; Rutaceae
Description: long non-coding RNA (CMAX_LNC001601)
Source: RNAcentral
GGAGGAAGGAGAAUAAAGAAAAUAAGUAUUAUAGCAUUAAUAUACUAUAUCAUAAAAUUCAUUACAUCUCAAUCUUUCAAUUUGUUUUAAUCUAAAGACUCACAAUCUUUAUCUAAGAUUUUGUCUCUUGAACACGCUUCCAACUAUUGAUUAAAAUUUUGAGAUAUACUAACGUUUGCCAAUAAGAUAACUACAUAAAGUUGUAAGGACAAUACAAUCAAUUGAACCCACAAUAAUCAAAUUCUCCAAAGGUGUCUAUUAUCUUUGACUAUUAUCUUUGCGUUCCUUCAACUUAAUUUGGGUAUUUCUUUCUUUAUGUAACGACUCGCCCAAGCUCCACACUCCACAGGACGAAUCUAACUGCGGUUCUAAUACAUAUUCUUAAAAAAAAUAAUUCUAAUCCUUUUACAAUCUAUAAAAAUUAGAGCCUCAAAAUACAAAUGUAUUACACAAUCUGCAACGAAAUAAUUUAAAAUUUAUGUCAAACCAUCUACCGUCCUCAAUUCAUAUUCUUCUUGUAACCCAUCAUGAAUCAAUUCUGAUUAAUGAAAAUUGAAUCACAAUAAACUAUAAUGAGUACGAAACUCAAUAAGUAAACCAGUUUUUCAUAUACCAAAGUAUAUACAUACAUACAUACAUACAUAAAUAUAAUGCAAAUGGAUGAUGUGCCAUGGUAUUCGAAAACAUUGUAAAAUAAAUUAUCAAAAUCUCAUUCUGUAAUUUUCAAACUUUCGCAUUUUCUGUCAAAUCACUUAUUUCAACUUGAGCUACCUUCAUUCAAUUACUGCUUAGUAGGACACUCCUUUAACUUUCAUAACUUUCAUACACUUUUGGCUUCACGUCAACACGUCCCUCGCCCACUUAUCUCAUAAACACAAUAUAACAUCCAAAAUAUCCUCCAUUAAGCCAAUAUCGAAUUCAAGCAUCCAAGCCAAAACUGUAAAACAAUCUUUCUUUCUUUAAAUUUUGUUUGCUAAAAUCCACUUUUUUUAUUUUAUAGAAAACAUAAUACAUUUUCGUACUCAUGCCAAUGAAAUUUCACACGUAUGUAUGCCCAUGUCCAUAAACACACAUAACACAUAAUAACACAUCAUAUCAACACAUCACAUAAACACAUCGACAGAAUAUAUAAAUCCAUAUCCGUAUAUAUCAAAAUAAGUUUUUCAAAUAUGUCAAAUAUAUAAUAUUAUUUAUUUUGAUUCAUUUAAAAAUUUAAUUUACUUACCUCUUGAUAUCCUCAAUAAAUAAAUACGUAUCGAUAUCAUUGACCUAAAAAUAAAUAAAAAUACUCUCACAACAUAAAAUUAAAUUAUAAUCAUAAACUCUAAUAUCCUCAAACUUCUCAAUAUAAUCACAUUCCAUACUUAACCUCAAAUAAUGUCAAUUUGAAUAUUAAAUUACUAAAAUACCCUUGAAUUAAAAAUUAUCAAAAUACCCCUAAAAUCAUAAUUUACCAAUUUAACCUCAAAACCAUAAAUUAACAACUUAUCCUCAAUUUCAGCAAUUACUAAAAUACCCACAAAGUCUGGAAUUACAAAAUUGCCCUCAGAGUGCGAAAUUACUGAAAUGCCCUUGCCGACCGACGGUGACCGGGAUUCAACCGAUGGCGACGGGAAGCUCAGGUCUGAAAAUUAUGGCCACGCUGAGUCCAACGGUGGCAACGGUGACUUACCACGCGCAGCGACGGCACCGAAAUCUAGCUCGGAAACCGCGAAUGCUUAAGUGGCCGAUCGGCGGCAAAACGACGUCCCCAACGGCAGUGGAUGGCUGGAAAUGGCAGAGGGCAUGGUGGGGAACAAAACCCAAGUGGUAGCGUCACCGGAAACCGGCAAAAUCGCGGCGAAUUGGUGCGGCGAUCCUGCGGCUUUUCACGGUGGCUUUCCGGACAUAUUCCGGCGAUAAGGAUGGCAUGGAGAUGACCGGAAUCGCAGGAGCUUCCGAUCGGUACCAACCUUAGCUGGUGAGGUGGCAGGAACUGCGAGAUCCGGUCGGGUUACGUUCGCGGGUCGGGUUGACCCGAUUCUCUUUUCCCCCUCUCUCCCCCCGUGAGCUUUUCUUCCCUCUCUCUUUUUGUUUUUUUUUCUCUCUCUCUCUCUCUCUAUUUGUAAGGGUGUGGGGGUAUUACACUCCAUUUGAUCCCCAAGAAAUUCAAAUUAAAAGUUGAUUUUUGUGACACAACUUGUACAGUUCACACACUUCAACAGAAAAAAGAAACGAAAUACUACAGUGAACAAUAAAUUUGUGGGCUACUCCUUCAACAUGGUGGCAUAUGUUCGGCGGAGGCAGCAUUUUUGCUUUUGCACAUCUGCCAUUUUUCACAAUGAAUGCCAUUUGCAAGCCCCAGCUCUGAUGACGGUCUAAAUGGCAGUGGACGAACCAUGCUCCUGUUAAUAAAUACCAAUAAUAUUAUUGUUGACAUAAAUUUUUACUUAAUGUACAAUGAUUGAUUUGUAUUUUGAACUUUUUUUUUAAAUCGAGUUCUGUAAUUUAUUUUUUUCUUAAAGCAAGUGUCUCAAAUCACAUGUUUUCUCGUGAUUAAUUGUUCUGAAAAAAAAAAAAAAUUAUCAAAGGGUGCCCAUAUGCCGGCGAUAACUCUCUGACGCUCAAUUUAAUUUUUUUUACUUAAUUUUUAAAUAGAGAAAAUCAAGAGUGAGAUGGACUGAGUUUUUCUAACUCAUUUGGUGCCAUUUAUUCUCUUACCUUCAAAUGGGGGGAGGGGGGGUCUUGGCCUUUAUAUAGGCAAUUUAGAGUCGAUUGGAGAGGUUAUGCGGCACUUUUCUUGUGACAAGUGUCAGUCAAAACCCAUGCAUGGAAACACAUAUUCAUAUGUAUCAAUGCUUGCUCAUAACAAGUAAUCUUUGGACAUUUGCAUGUUUUUGGACCAUUAAUCUUUAAUGAAUUUUAGCUUAAAUUCGGCACUUAUAUUGACUCCUUACAAAGAGAAUUGAUUUUGUAACAUUUUGCCCGUAAGCGCAUUCCGUAAAAUAUUUGUUAGGUAGUAGGCUCAUUCCGUAGAAUGCUUAUUGGCAUGUUCGCACAUUUUAUAAGAUGCAUAUAUCUGCCCGUAGGUGCAUUUUCGUAGAAUGUAUAUUUAUCUGUAGCCGCAUUCCAUAUAAUGUAUAUUUAUUCGUAGGUGUAUUAUAUAGAAUGUGCAUUUGUCUGUAGGCCCAUUCCAUAAAAUGUGUAUUUGUCAUAGGUCCAUUCUAUAGAAUGUAUAUUUGUCCAUAGGCGCAUUCAGUAGAAUACUUAGUAGCUCGUGCGCUCUUAUUUGUAAAUAAUGGAUCUAUGUCAUUCUUUAUUGAAUAAUGUCUUUGGCAAUUUGUCGAAAACUCGCACUUUGAGCAUUUUACUUAAAAAUAUUUUCUAAGUUUCUAAGUCAUUCUUUGUAAGGAAUGGACUUAGGUCAUUAUUUAUAACCUAAAUCAUUCUUUAUAAGAAUGGACCUAGGUCAUACUUUAUAAAGAAUAGACUUAGGUUUUUCUUUGAUAAAUCACGCUUUUGGCGUUUUGUCAUAUCUUACAUUUAGACACUUUAUUUAGAAUUGUAAGUACCUUGAUUGUUCUUAUAGAUAAUAGGCCUAGGUUAUUUUAUGUAAAAUAUUUUUAUUGGGCCUAUAUUUUUUGUGGGUUUUGGGUCUUUCAUAAUUUGGUCUAACAAUUAUGAUUAGUUAAUGACAUUGUUAUUGAAAAUUUCCUCGACUUUAAGAGUUUCCAAAAAAAAAACAAAAUAUUGCUAGGGUGGUGGGGAUAUUUUCAGCCUAAAAAUUUAUGUAAACACACUCUAUUUUAAAAAAUUAUUUAUAAAAAUUUCACUUUAUUUUUUAGAAAUUAUAAUAAAGAAAAAGCUUAAAUAAUUAAUCAAUUAAAUCUGUUUUUGUACAUAAGUCUCUUGACCAUUUUUUAUCACUAAGGUUGUGUAAUAUAAUUUUAAUUUAAUUGUUUUAUCCUUAUAAUAUAAAAUGACUAAAUUAUCUAAAAUAUGUGCUCUUGUACCUUAAGUUAAAACUAUUAACGAGGAUUUAAUUGUUUAAUUGUUCAAAAUUCUACUUUAUUUGAUAUUAUUAAAAAAUAAUAUGAUCUGUAAUAGUUAUUUAUUUGAAGUGGGAUGGAUUACGCAAUGUGUGCGGGUGGAGAGAUGCAUUGGUGACGAUAUUUUUUAACAUUAUUAUAACUCCAUAAUAUUUGGAAGAAGGGAAGAAUAUUUCUCUACUUAACAAGCUUUCCAUAUUGAUCAAAUAAGUCCAUGAUUUUUAAGUAGGAAUAGGAAUAACAAUAUUAACCAUGCACAAUGAAAAAUAAUGCCGCAUACCCGGAUCGUUUGCUGUGAAUCUAAUGGCAGCCCAACAUUCUUAGGCACCAUAAUUGUAUUCUGAAGAGGAGGUUCAACAAAAUUAAAUCUCUUAGCAUCCUUAGCUCUAUCAAAAUUACCAAAUCCCCCACCCACCACAUAAAAACUGUAACCAUGCAAAUGCAUUGGAUGAUCAGUCCCUGCCAGCAAAUCUGUCCCCUGAAAAACAAUCUCCACCGCCGUAUUAUACUCAAGUACUUUCACCUCAAUCCGUGGCCUUUCUCGGCACGCUUAAAUUCAGCGGCAGAUUAUCCGCCGUGAAAUCGAAGAAUAGAGGAGGCUUUGCAGGGAAAUUAUCACUGUAUAUGCCGCUAACACGGUUAUAUUAAGCUUUUAAAAUGUCAGUGUAUGGGGCAGCAAAGCUUAUGUUACUAAUACUAGAAGCAAGCACGUGUCUUUGUCACAGGGCAAUGAGUUGACAGAAAUUGUGAAAAAUAAUUUCUUGUUUAACUUUUUGGGCACGUUAUAUUUGUGAUGGUCACUGUCUAGGUGUCUGAGGUAGUGAGGUUUUGUAAGAAAUUAACGGAAGCUUUUGUGUCAUCAUAAGAAGGAAGAUUUGGCAAAGGAGUUUUGGAAGAUGGGUAAAGUCCCUCGUAUUGGACAAUGGCAGUGGUGGUGGUGUUGUCGUCAUAGACGUCGGUGGCGCUGGAAUGAGCCUUGGCUGCCAUGUAAUAUUUGUUUGGAAUUUGGUUAGCUUUUAUCAAGACGUCAAUGAUUUGUCCUGGUGAAAUUGUCAGGUAUUCUACUUAAUGGCUUGGUGUAGCUGCCGUCGACUCCCACAAUUGUGAGCUCAUGUUUUGCGACAGCGAAGGAGACGGGGUCCUCCAGGCCGGCGUUGAUCAUGCGGAGGAGAUUAUAAGUCUUGCCCAAUUCCAUCAGUAACUUGAAUGUGUCUUUAAGAAAGUUGAAAGUAAUGGUGAAAAAUAUAUAUAAUCAAGUAAAACAAAGUUGUAAUUGGGGAGAAAAAAAAAAAUCUGAUGUGUGAAGGCCUAACAUUUUCUAAUUACAUUUUAAAACAUACCAACAUAGGUAAUAGAGAAUCGCCUAAUGUUGAAACUUUGUAAUCAAUCAAAGUUUAUGAAUAAAGAGGAAAAACAAUGCAAUUUGAAGCAAAAGAUAAGAGGAAAAAAAUGAUUAAAAAAAUCCUUGUUAUUGCAGUAAAUUAAUUACUUUCUAAUUUUCUCCUGUUUCAGAAUCCAUCAAACCCUCAAUACCAUUAAAAUAAUGCUAAUUUCCAACUUUUAUGUGUUGAAAAGUUGACAAUUUUUUAAUCGGGUGGGAGGUUCUUAAAUAAGUUUCGAACAUGAGGAAAAUUAACUAAUUUACAAAAACAACAAGGGGAGUUUUGAUCAUUUUCUUCACAAAGACAUUAGGAGGGAUUGAAAAAUCCAUACCUAAUUUUGAACUAAGAAAAAGAUCAACGGGUAGCUGUUAAUUGAGAUAAGCAUCUGAAACAUUAGGAUUUGUUCCUGAUUUGAUGAAUUGAUCAUAAAUCUCGAUCACGUCUUUCUUUCAUCACUCAGCCGUGCAUUAUUUUUAAAGAUUAUGGGUUGAAAUUAAUGAAAAUAAUACCCAAGAUGAUGGGCAUUUCAUCAUGAGGCUUGGGAAAAUGAUAAUAAGUUCCCUUCUUAGGAUAAACAACAAUGGCUCCAUGAACCGUUGUUCUUAACCAAUCACUAUGAGCAUGCCACCAAAUGGUUCCUUCUUCUGAAGAAAAUUUGACUUUUUGGCUAAAUUUUUUCUCCAGGUUUAAUAGGACAUUGUGUUAUAUAUUCAGAACCAUCCCCCCAUGGGUUCCUUGGCUGUUUCACUCCGUGCCUACAAACUAAAUCUUGUAAAUGAAUUUUUUUCACACUGUUCCGAGAUUGUAGCAAUAUAUAAAGUAUUUAUCUAGUGCAGAUAUAUUUUCAUUUUUUAAACAUUUGGACAAAAAUAAGAGAUAAAACAUACCAAGUACAACUAAAAGAUCCCAAAAGAAAUGCAUGGUAGACGUUUGCACUGGCCAGAUAAAUCAAUAUACACAAGAGGAGAGUAGAGAGAGGUAUUUGCGCACCAAUGUGAUGUUAUGUUUUAAUUGGCUUUGUCGUACACAUCAACUAUAAUUGCACCACCCUUGUGGGCGUACAAAGUUGGCUCAGGGAACUGUCCAUUUUGGGUCAUUAUUUUCUUUGUGCGGCAAAGCCUUGUGUAUGGAACAUCCUCAACCUGAAAGGAAUGGGUUAUUUGCAGGAUUAUGAUCGUUAUUGGACAACAAAUAAUUACUUACCUCAAAUUUGUGACAAACCACAGAUGGGCAAUGAAGGAAGUAACUCGUCAAUAACAAAAAUCCCAAUAUAUGGAAACCUGAAAUUUUCAUGAUUGGCAACAUUUUUCAGCAAAUAAAUAACUCAUUUUGUUCAAAUUUGACGCUAUGAAUGCUUAAAUGAGACUAGCUGUUAUCAUAUUUAUAGAUGAAGCUUUUAUAAAACGAUAAAAGUUGGGUAAAAUUUUUCUUCAUUUGUCAAUAUCAAACAUAAAGUAAGCACCAAAAUAUAUAACCAACUUCAAAUCCAAAGACGGAUAUUUUGAACUGCCGAAAUUCUGCGCUUGCCAGACAGAAGCUUCAUUUUCUUUAAAAGCAAAGGCCAAGGAAUGAAGAAAAGACUGAUACAAAGUUUUAUUACCGCAUUGGAAUAAUAUGAUGACGUUUAUUGUUAUUUUAUGUGAUUCAAUGAGAGAUAAUAUUGAUUAAAAACUAAAAGACGUGGAUUACACUACUGCUUUAUUGUAGAAUUGAUUGCUCUUAUUUGCGUUUUUGUAAAAAUAAAGCAGAAAAAGAAGAAUCAUAAUAAGAUGGCAAUUGUAACACUCCAGUGUGAGGGAUGUAAGCAUUAUGAGACUUUUGUGGUGGAUCUGAACGAAGCCGAAAAUAUGAUAUAAUGUAAGAGCAGAUUGUUCUAGUAAACAGGAGCUUGUUACUUUAUAUUAUUACGUAAGUUACAUAACUUUUUUAUAAUUAUUUGAUAAAAAUCUAACAGUUAUAGAAAUAUAAGAUAAUAAAAUUAUAUUUUUUUCAUAACCGUUAAUUUUUUAUCAAAUGAUUGUGGAAUAAUUAUGUACUUUACAUAAUAAUGUAAGGCGACUAAAGCCCAAUAAAUAACAUACUUUCAUUAAUAAAAUGAAAAUUUUCAUUGUAGUAACAAAAUUGGAAUAUUACGACUUCUCCAACUUUAACCGUCUUAACAAAAUUGGGCCAAGUGGACCAAUUAAUUGGCAAGAGGACCGAAUAGAUAUUAUUUUUGCGUGUAAUUUUGGGUUCUUUAUAUUACACGCAAACAACAAACACUGAGAAAUUGUUGGGGAGCACUUUGGGUCCAUAUGUAUCCAAAUCUAGCUAAUAGUUACUUUCCACUAAUCAACUAUUCGAUAAAUGGGCUAGUGUAUUGACACAUAUAAAAGUCACAUCUAUAUAUAUUCAUAAAGUUGGAAUUUGAGGAAGUGGCGUGGCAUCACUAUUUCUCAUCUUUAUAUAUUUUUUAUUAUCUAAUAAAUAAAGAAAUUUUCUUUUAGAUUUAGUUUUUUAACUUCUCACAAUUAAUUUGAUUGUUAUUACACAAUAAUAAUUAUGUAAAGGUUUUAAUGAGACAUAUUCUUUGUAAUGAACAUCCAAGCGGGAGUGUUAUGAAUUUAUUAAAAUAAAUGCAUAUGUUCAUAACAUAUAUCUCUUAGUCUCCCAAUUAUCUCUCAUUAGCAACAUUUAGCUUCCCUAUAACUCCCACUAUCUCACAAUGAAUUAUGAUCCAUAAUUUUUCAUUAAUUUCAUGGAGUGAUUAUAUAACUAUAAAAAGAGAGCUCAUCUUUUUAUUUUGUACACACACAAUUGGAAUGAAUAAAAUCACUCUAUAAUAUAUUUUCUUAUUUUAUUCUUUAUCUUGCGUUGCUUCUUUAUUUGUAUUGCUGGCUAAUAAUUAUUUUUUAUUUUUUAUAAGGUUGUCUCAUCUUAAAAAAAAAUCAAUUCAUAUUUUUUAUUAGUAAAAAAAAAUAAUAAUACUAAAUUCUUUUUUUAAAGCCGCGUGAAGCGCAGUUCUAUUUUCUAAUGUCUAUAUAUAUUUCAAGCUUUAGAUUAUAUCAAUUAUACAACGCACAUUUCAACAAGUCUAUUCCGAUUUCUUGUCUCACGAAUGACAUGUCGGUAGAAAACAAAACGAUAAAUAACGGACCAUCUAAAGUCUCUGUGUCAAUUAAAAUAUUAUUAUUGUUGACGUGUUAAAAAAAAAAUGAAUGCAAAUUCUCUUUCCCCACGACAUUUUCAAUUGGAAAAUGCUUAACAACUUGACCCAACUAAAUGAAUGGAUUUUCUCAUGUUAACAAGGGGUUAUGUCUCUAUUUGGGGUUUCUUUGAAUAUUUUUGUACUUCAAAUUUUAUUUUUUUCCUGUACUUUUCUUCAAAUUUUUUUUUUAUAUUAAUCUUCAAAUUUUAUUUUGUCAGCUGUGACGUUAAAGUUUCCUUAUGGAUGAAACUUCAAAAGUCUCAUGUUUCCAAGGUUCUCCGAAAUUAUUCCUUUCUUAAAUGAUUUGUUGUAAUAAAAUGUUUCUCAAUGUGUAAAGCUGAAAUUGGAAAUUUCCAUCAUCCCACCGCUCGAAAUAUAAAUAUCAUAUCAUUUUAUAGGAAAAAAAAUUAAUAUAAAUGCUCAAUAUUAUUAAUUGUGAGGCAUAUAUUUAAAGAAAUUAUGUUAUUUUCGCAUUGAUAUUUCUUAUAAAAGUUCAUGUGAUGCAUUACCACAACUUUUGAAAUCUAAAUUGUUAAGCCUAACUAAUAGAGAGUUCUUAAGGGUGAAAGUAAUUCCUUUUUUUUUUUAACUGCGAAGACAGUAGAUUCGUAAGAUCAAUUUGCAAGCUUCAGGAUUUAAUUUACAUAAAUUGCUUCAAAACUAAUAAAUUUAACAAGGAGGCACGUCUGGUGGUGGAGGUAGCAAUCUUUCUUGGGGUGAUUCUCCGUUCUUUACAAUGAAUACCGUCUUCAUUCCCCAUGUAAGGUGCUCCUCUCUAUGGCAGUGCAUAAACCAGACUCCUGUACCAUCAUGAUAAUAUUUAUUAUUAUAACCAUUAUAAUGAUAAAUGUUAAUGAUGAUGAUGAUGAUGAUGGGAACUGUUAAGACUGAAGAGAAAUUGCUUGACCAAAAAUAUAAACUAAUAGGUAAAAGUUCUUAGUAAGUUUCUCAUGUAAAAUGUGUCAAUCAAAAAAUUUAGAUAACCUAUUGAGGGGGCCAUGGCCCUGCCAUAGAAAUUUUUUAAUGCUAUAGUAUGAAAAGAUAUUUUCUUGUAAUAAAUUUAAUUCGACUUCAAAUUUGGAUUUUUUUUUUUAUAUGUUGGCCACUAUUAUUUAUCAUUUACUGCAAAAUGAUCCUAUGCAUUUCUGAAAAUUUUCAUUCAACGCGUCCUUUCCUAUACUUUUGUAUCAGUUAUUAUUUAUGACACAAUGACCCACAGAUUAAAUAUUAUGAUUUCGCCACCGGGAUACAAACACGAGACCUUCAUUCUAAUACUUUGUUAGAAAAUUUACUUGACCUAAAAGCUUAAGUUAUCAGCAAGGAUCCAAAUGGUAGAGACAAGUCUUAAUAAGAUCGAAGACAAGGAAGAAUCAAAGAUGAUGGUGAUGAGUGACGACAUACAUACAUAUAAUGAUGUUGAAGAAUAGUGCUGCUUACCAGGAUUGCUUGCCCUGAAUCUGACUGUAGCCCAGCCACUAAUAGGCACAUCCACUAUGGUCCGGAGAGGAGGAUCAAUCAGAUUAUAAUUUAAUGGGUCUUUUUCUUCGUCAAAAUUUCCGAACCCAAAUCCAACAACAAAAAAACUGUAUCCAUGCAAAUGUAUUGGAUGACUUGUCCCAGCAACCAAGUUUGUCCCUUGGAAAUUUAUCUCCACAGCUGAAUCAUAAUCCAAUACUUUCACUUCUGUCCCUUGUUCUGGAAUCUGUAAGAUCAUGGGCAAAUCAUCUGCUGUGAAGUUAAAAAAAUAUGGCGGAAAGUCUGGAAAAUUCUCUCCAUAAACCCCAUUGAUGCGAUCGUAGUAAGCCUCAAGUAUAGCAAUUGAUGAUGGCUCAACAAAACUUUGGUUGUUCAAGCUAGCAGCAAGUCGAGUUCCAUUCGGCCCUUCACACGAAUUGUUAUCAUUUUCACAAGGCAAUGUGUUUAACGAAACAGUUGAAAAUAUCGAACUGGUAAUGUCUAACGGGACAUCUAUGGGAUGAUCUUCAUUUGCCAAGCUCCGAAGGCUACCGAUAAAUUGGAAGGCCGAAUUUGUGUCAUUCCUAGAAGGAAGAUAAGGUAAAGGAGGAGAUGAAAUUGGAGUGUAAUUUCCAUUGUAUUGUAAUACAGCCGUGGCCGUCGUGUUGUUGAUGAAAUCAAGAUUGACUACAGUGGAAUAAACACUUGAAGCCAUGUAGUAGAGAUUAGGGUUCUGGUUGGCUUGUAACAACACAUCUAGGGUUUGUCCUGGUGAUAUUGUAAUGUAACUGGUUGUUAAUGGAUUAGUGUAAGCACCGUCGGUUCCCACGACUGUGAGAUCGUGAUUUGCGAUGGAGAAGAAAAGCAUUUCGUCCAUUGCAGCAUUAAUUAUGCGGAGAAGAUAAGUUUUGCCUUCAUCCACUGUUAGCGUGAAUGUCUCUGCAAUAUAGAAUAUUAUUAAUUAGUUGUUAGAAGAAUUAUAAAAGCAUUAUUAAUUAGGAUACAUUUUUGGUAAAUUUUCUUCUUUUUUUUUUAUUCCUCUAAUUCAUGUACCGAAAAUCCGAAAUGACUCGGGCGUAUCCAAAAUUAUUUUACUUUAAAAAAAAAUUAAUUAAACCCGAUUACGUGUUAAUUGCAUAUAUACCUGAACUCGAGCAUGGGUAUAAAUCACCAGGUUGACCAUUUAUAGUAAAAGCGUCCGAUGCUGCUGGCAGUCCCCCUGUUCUAAGUAGUUCAUUUCGAACUUCCGUCACACCUUGCUUCCACCACUCUCCUACAUUUUUUUUUUCCCAUAAUGUUUUUAACACUAACUAGAUCAUUAAUUUACGUUCAUUAAGAUUUUUGAUAGUAUUUAUGUGAAAUAAAUUUCGUAAAAUAAACUACCCAAAAUGAUUGGAACUUCCGCAUUGGGUUCAGGAAAAGGAUAGCCAGCAGUUCCAGGCCUCGGCUGUAUAAUGAUAGCUCCAUGUACUGUGGCACGUGACCAUUCACUGUGAGCAUGCCACCAAAGAGUUCCUUCCUCUUCCGAAAAAAUUAUCUUCUGCCUGAAGCUUGCUCCAGGUUUGAUUGGGCACUGUGUUAUGUAUGCAGGACCAUCGGACCACGGAUACCUAGGCUGUCUCACUCCGUGCCUGGACGUGAAAUCAACCCUAGUCUGUUAAGUUUACAAUCGAGCUAAAAGCUUAAGCUCAAAGGUAAAAGCUCAGUAUUUCAUUGGUGAUACAGAAACAACCCCCUUUUUUUUUUUUUUUUUCCUUUUUAUAGUACAAUUAAGUGAAAUAAAAGAGCUAGCUGUACAUAUUUACCAGUGAAUGGUGAUAUUUUCUUUGCCUUCAUUAGAAACCUCGACGAAGAUUGUAUCGCCUGUAAAAACCCUAAUAGUUGGUCCAGGGAAUUGUCCAUUUACGGUCAAGAUAUUCUUUGUGCUGCAUAGCCUUGUAUAUGAAGCCUCCUUUACCUACACAAAAAAUUAAUUAUGCAGUAGUAUAUCCUUAUGCGAAGAAAAAGAAGAAAAAUAUUUAUCGAUAUUCACAUUUCUUAGUUUAUGCGAUUCAAAUUUUAUUUUUUUUUAACAUGCCACUUAAACAUAACCCAAAAAUAAUUAAAAAUUCAGAAUGUUAAAAGUAAUAAUAAUAAAGGUUACAAUAUCGUUAUUAAAAUGGGAAGAAAUGGUCAAUAGCCAAUCGAAUACGAUAUUGCAUAGAUUCCCCGUCCCUCAGGUAUGCAUGAAGCUAGCUAGAGACUGAUCGCUAGAGCAGCGCCUCACAAAAAUGUUUAUUUUUAAUUCGGAUAAUUUAUAUUUUCAAUCCAAAUUAUAGAUUUUUUUUAUUCUCUAGCCCAGCGAACUUUAAGAGUUUUACGUCUUGCCCCAGAAAUACAUACUUUUUAAAUUUUCAGUAUUCGGCCUAAUGCCUGCCUAUAGACCUUUAAUUACCCAUGAGAGUGUGUGACAUUUGGACCCCCGGAUGGAAAGAAACAAAGCCUAUAGAGGCCAAGUCUAAGAACUACAUAUAAAACUCGGGACCAUAAUAGUAAUAAAAAAAGGAAAAUAAACCUUAAUUAGCAUGAGCCAGAGAAUAAAAACCUAUCUCGAGGCAAAAAUGUGAAUAGUUAUUUCUAUCUCUCAAUUGAUUUUGAGUUUUUUUUUUUUUUUGGAAAAGGGGCCGUGGCUGCUUAGGACAUAGCCGGGCUCCAUCCUGGAUGCAUAAAGCUAAAAAUAUAGUAAAGAAGCUCUUGAAAGCAAAAAUAAUUAUAAACAAAGGAAAUAUCUUUAAAAUGUGCAACUAGGAAAUCUAUAGGCAUCUCACAGCAUAUGUAAUUUUGUAAAUCAUGAAUUGCCUCUCUGUGAUAGAAAGAGAAAGUACAGUACUACUCACCACGAAAAGAUAAUCAUUUGAAGCCGAGCGGAGGCUAAACAAGAGCUGAAAGCAGAAUAUUUUUAAGCAGAAGGUUCCAUUGCGAAGACGCAGCAUUAUUCCGAAUUUUGAUAAUAAGAAUACUUUGCUUCUUCAAUUGAUCAAAUGAAAUUUUUUUUUUGGUUCUUAUACAAGUUAGUGAUGAGCAAGAGAAUCAUUUGCUCACGUUAUUAUGAUACUGAUUGCUUAAGGACAGCCGAAAGAACUAAGACAUUCCAAAUAUGUAUAUUGCCCCAAAAAUGCUGAUUGGGACUCAAUUUCUACAAUAAUAUUUUUCAUAAUUGCAUGAUAUUUUCGUUAGCCAAUUGAUAACUUAAAACAAAAAUGACCACUAAUUAAGCUUUAGCAUUUCUUUCAUUUUUGGUUAUUAGCACCCACUCUAAUGUUUUUACCAUGUUUUAUUAUUGUUGUAUCAUUUUUUUCUGUCUUAAAGAAAAAAAAUAGUGAUAUGCAUACUAGUUAUUUCUGAACUGGCUUGGUCAUAUUAGUUUAAAAUUAUGUCAAAAACAUUCAAUAGGGUGGUUAUAUUUAUAGAUAGAGAGAAUAACCUAUAAUUUUAAGAACAAAAUUUUGGAACGAAAGUUUUAAUUAUGCCAAAAUUUCCAUGACGAAUUCUUUAGUAAAUGUCGAGCCAUUAUCUUGCUGUGAAGUAAAAAAAUAAUAUCUAAAUAUAAUAUAGGGAGAUUAUCAUUUUUUCCAUAUUAAAUUAAUAUAUAUCACUUAUCCUUUUACCCCCUAACACAAAAAAUUUAAAGAAAAAGAUGGGUAAAUGGGCCAUUUCUAAUAAUAUUCUUAUUUUCAAAUACAUUUUUAUUUUUAUUUAUUAUAAAUUAAAUAAAUAGAAAUUAAAAUAAAAAAUUGGAAGUAUUAAAAAUAAAAAUAUAUAUAUUUGGAUGUGAAAAAAAUUAAUAAUAAGAUAUUAUAAAAAUGCCCAUUGAUCCCCCUUCUUCUUUAAAAUAUUUGUGUUAGAGUAGUUUUUGGAUAUUAUAAAAAUAGUAGGGGAAUAAGCGGUAUAUUGAUCUCAGUAGAGAAUAAACUGACAAUCUACCUAUAAUUUAAGUAGUAAAUUAAUUUAUUCUAAAGUCCAUUUUUGAUAACCCAGUGCGUGUGUAGUUCGAAUGUGAUGCUCAAAAACUAAUAGAUAGAUGGAUAUAGCAAGCGAUACACACAGAACAAAUCAAUGAUGGCCCAUUAAAUCUAGGAUAUACAUAAUUACUUGUUCAAAAUAAAUUAAAAAUGGUGAGAAACUACAUCAUUGCAUUCAUACAAGUUUUUUUUUUUUAUUACAUUUAAUAAGAAUUAAAAUAAUCUUUGUCCCCUCCUAAAUCGUUUGUGUAAUAAUUUUGUGCUUUUAGGAAUCAUUUCGAAACAAAGAAAAUCUAUAUUUGUCUUAGAGGCCUUUUUAUCAGAAUAUUUUAGUCAAAUUAAAUUUGACUUUGGCUGCAAUGACACAAUUUUUGCUGAAGAGAGGUCCUGCUAUUUUUCAACACCCCUAGUUUUACAGGUGAGCUUUACAGCAAAUUAAAAAGUGGUAGCAGGUAUUAACAAAGAAGAAAACGACUCAAAUCUUAUGAUAGGUUUAUCUAUCCCUUUCUUGGAAUAAUAUUCCAAAAUAAUUUUACUUGUUUAAAACACCCAUAAAAAUGAAAUUAAAUUGCUUAGUUAACAAAGGUUUAACUAGUAAGUAUAUGUAACUAAGUUAUUUCUUUUCUAGUUGGCUUAAGAGAUUAAGAAAUGAUUUUCGUCUGUUGCAUAGGACUUUCUGGCAUCGCUGCAACUACAGCAUUUAUUACGUUGACAAUUGGAUGUUAGUGAAUUCAGAUAUGGGAAACAAUAGCGUAUGAUUAGUUAUCAAUCACUAACUUUGAGCAAAAAGUUGUCGAUCGAUCGUUGUUUUGUUUUAUUCAUUUGCUUUUUAAUGGACAGUAUAAAUUCUUUUCCGAUGAACAAAUAUAGCCAACGUAGUUGAAGAUAAAAGAAUCGUACCCGUUUUUGAAUAACGACAUUGUAGAAAUAUUGAAUGAAGUUGGUUGAAUUUCAACCCUCCAAUUUAUUAGACUUUAUGGUUUACGUAGCUUACAAAAGCAAAUAAUCCAAUAGUGUCCGAAAAGAAUGUAACGUAUGCAAACCAUAUCCUCUAUUACUUAGGAUGCCAGUGAGACGGAAAGGAAUAAUUUGGAAAAAGAGUGAAUGACAUGAAUAUAAAAUAAAACAAAAUUCUCUCAUUUUUCUUCUUUUUUUUUUUUUUGUUGUAAAUCAUCCGGUGUCUUGCGACCGCAUUGGGCCUUGACUAAUCCGGAUUCGGGGUGUAGUCACAGUUAAGGCUCUUUACCCCUCCCAAAUAGUGUGUUUAGUGGGGAUCGAACCUGAGAGCUCUUCCCACAAACUCAGCCUGCGCUGCCAACUGAGCCACAAUCAUUUGGUCUCAUUUUUCAAAGAGACGUACUUAUUUUUUUUUUUUUGUUUGGUUAAGCUUUUUUUCUCUCACUUUUUCUUUGUGCUUUCAAUCGUAGUAUAAAAUUUUAUUUAUUUUCUUAACACUAAAAAAGUUAAAUAAUUAUGUCUAAAUAAAAUUAACAAAUGGAUACAUGUCAUGAUUGAUUGAGUAUAAAAAAAAUGUCCAACAAAAUUGACACCGCUGUCAGCAUUUCCACUUGCAAGCACAUCUGGCACCCACGUCUCUAUUGAAGUUAAAUAAUAUGGAAGAAGAUCAUUAAUUAUUGAAAACCUAAGUAGAGAAGUUUGUAAUCUUAUUCUCAUACGCAUGCAAUCAAAUUCUCAGUUUCCACUAUAAAUAAAGAUUUGGAACUGUUUUAGAUCUCAAAAUAGCAGGCAGUUAAUACGAAGACUUUUGCUGAGUAAAGCCCCAAAUGCAUAGGCUAGCUGUUAUACAUUUGUACACAAGUAAGUUCAAAACAACAGUUUUACACCGCUGAGAUGAAUGUAACAGUUAUGCAUAUCCGAUCGAUGUAAACCUACGAACAGAAAGUAUGUUUAAUCUACAACCUCUUAUGCAAGGAUUGAAACUCUAACAUCAUGCGUGAUUUAAACACUUUGGGACAUUCAAUGAUCGAAUGAGCAAAGCUAUAAGUUUUCUGUAUCUUCAGCUGCGAGGAUUAUUAAACAAUCGAAAGCUUGACUAAAGAUAUAUAAUUAAGCAAGAGAAGAAUAAAUGUAAUAGCUAGCCUGUGCCUACCGGUUUAAGCGGGAACUUCUAGUCUGGGCUGUGGUAUGAGUUUAAAGGUGUCUCCCAUAAUUAGAGUCCUCCUCAAGAUACCUCGUGGUUAAGACCAAAAAAAAAAAAGUCUCCAUUGGCUUCAGAACUUGAAAACGCGUCAAAUGACACCAAAACGAGUGAGUUUGGCUGCCGUUUUGGGAGGAGACGAGAGUUUCCUUUAGUUGUGUUUCUAUUCGUUUUCUUUUAUUCUUAUUAUUAUUAUUAUUAUUAUUUUACUUUUUUAAAUUUGGAAAACUGUUGGAUUGGAACCGAGCAGUAUAAAAACCAAUUGGUUUCAAUUGACAAACUCGAGCCAACUUAAAAAAAAAAAUGUAAAUUUUGAGUUACUCCCUCGUGAAUUAUUGAUAAUCUUUAAAUUGUCCCCUUAUUUUUAAAAAUAUCAAAUUAUCCGUUAAAAGUAGUUAAUUUUAACGAUUGACCGUCAUUAACUUAUUAAAUAUGAAAAUAUCUUUUUUAACAGCCUCGUUAACUAACGGUUUUAAUAUUAAAAAAAUAUUAUUAAAUUGAUAAAAUAAUAAAAAUUACAGACCUUAAGAUCCAAAAAAAAAAAUCUAUCUCUUCUCAAUUUCAUCUUCACUAAAUCAAAAUCACAUUAAACCUAAUUGAGAUACCCAUAAUAUUGGUUGGCAUGGCUACAUGUGGCAAAGGAUUUGGUUGCCUUGACCGCGUGCAGCCAUGGCUUGGUUUCCAUGGUCGCAGGGCACCAGGGAUUUGACUGCCUUGGUUGCACGUGGCCAUGGGUUUGGUUUCCAUGGCAGCGCAUGACCAAGGGUUUGGUAUCCAUUGGGGUAAAAUGAAAAUUUUUAAAGCAUUUGGGGCUUACUAUAAAUAUUUAAAAAUUUUGUGUGUGUUUUAAAAUGUUAGAAAGAUUUAGGCUAUAAAAAUUUGCCUACAUAGCAGCUUGGUCUUUUCCUUCUUAAUUGACUGUUAGGAAAAUGUAUAAAUUUAUUUUACCCUUUUGAUAGUUAAAAAUAAUAGAGAUAACAAUUUUUGAGGGUAUAUUUUCAAGAGUAAGGAAAGCAAUUUAAAUAUUGUUAAUUCACGUAAGGGUAAAUCCAAUAUGAACCUGAAAAAUAAACACCUCAUUUAGUUCAGGAUUGUCAAUCGUGGGACCUAGGUAUCAAAAGUUAUAUAGUCUGUAACUUGAACAUAUUUAAGAGUAAUACGUGGGACUUAAAAGCAAUUAUUUUUAAAUACUUUUUACUUUUUCUUGGUAAAAUAAAUCUAGGAGAACUUUUCGGAAUCUCUGUACAAACAAACUUGUAGGUUAGGGGAAAAAAAAACUAUUAGUAAUCCAAAAAAGAAAACAAAGAAAAUAUAAUUUACAUACAGAUAGCAAAUAUUAUCGUCCAACAUUUUUUCUUAGGUCUUGGGCCACAUUUAAUUAAUAUAUUUCGACUCCUACGUUACUGUUUACCUAAUUUCUUAAUGAUACAUAUUUAUACAGUUAAAUUCUUCGUUGUGUUACAUUUCUCAGUUCUAUUUCAACCCAAUAGGCUAAUACAUGAAAUAAAAUGUGGAGAAAUGUAACAGAAUACACAAGAAAAAUAAAAACAAAUGGGCGAGAUGUCAUGUUCUCCACCGAAUAUCAUAAUGAAUAGUUUUGUUUCAAAUUUGCAAUAACCUCAGCUCUCAAGGACUUCUUAUAAAUGUUGUUAUAUACACCUACCUUCAGGUACAUUCCAUGCAUAUUAUUAUGUAUACGAUUCCUCUAGAGUCUAGAUUGUUAAAUACUAACUAAGCAACAAAUUAUAUCUGUGGGAACCAUACCCAUUAAUAAUAUGGUUCCUUGAAAUACAGCGCAUAAAUAAUGCAACAAAAAGUAAAAAUAAUAACAACAACAUCAAAGGUGAGAGCUGUCAUGGCUUGGUCACUCAGCUCCAUAUUUCUUCCUCCUAAUCGAUCCACCAUGUCCGGAAUUGAUCCGUAGUUCUUCAAUGCUUGAUCAUAAGGAUCUUCAAAUUUCAUUUUUAGCUUCUCAGCUUUUCGGCUUGCAGCUUCUUGAGCAAGUGUCCAGUCAUAAAACCUUCUGCUUUCUUCAUUGCUUAAUACAUCGUAAACUUCCCUUAGCUUUAGGAACUUCUCAGAAGCAGCUUUUAGAGGGAGUGAUGUUGCGUCUGGGUGGUACUCUUUUGAUAAUCUUCUGUAAGCUGAUUUUAUCUCUUCCAAAUCCGCGCUUGGUGAUAUUCCUAAGAACCUGAAUUUUAUAUAUUGACUAUUAAUCGAUACUAGCCAGCUACUUGAGUUCUGAACAUUGAGGCUAACAAUAAUUUUCAAAGAGAACUUAUUACAUUUCGAAUUAACUACAUCUUACAGUUUUUGUUUUUUUUUAAUUUAUUCGGCCGGUUUUGUAAGAAAUCUAUUGUGAAAUUGUGUAAAUCAUCAUAAACUUACUAGUUAUAACUAAUACUGAAUCCUUAAUAAUUUUAAGCUAUUAAGUUGAGAAGUUUCCCUAUCUCAAAUAGAGUAAAUAGCACAUGUACAAAGUUUAUUUCAAAUAUAUAUAUGUACAAUUAUAAAUUAGUAGAAUUUGUGAAUAAAUCACCAACUAUUGGAUGAGCAAUAUCUAUUGAAAAAGUGAAACAAGAAAAUGGAAUAAAAAAUAAUAAUAAUAAAACAAACUUACUGGUAAUGAGAAUCAGAGGAGUUGUUUAAAAGAUCAGCGAACUUCUCACCCAAGAGAUUCUUUUGCUCUUCUUCAGCAUUAAAAUUCUGGUUUGUUUGGUGUGACGAUGAUGAGCUUCCACCAAUCCACCCUUCAUCUUCGUUUUCCCAAUGAAUCCUUGUAUCAACUCCCGGCUGCGCUCUUCGUUGGCUCUUGUUACUGCCAGCCUUUUGCGAUGCAAACACACGCAGAAUUUUGCUUCUUGUCCUUGCUGUUGCCGCUCUGGGCUCCUUUGUCAGCUGCUGCAGGCUGCCGUGUUGGGUUUUGAGAAACAGAGAAUAUGGAGAUUGCGGAGAUACUGUGGAAGCCAUGAACAUGAAUGAGAGGGAAAAGAGAAUUGGUGCCGGCUUCCAUUUUCAAGAUGAGAAGAAAAUUUGUUUUUUUCAGGGCCUCAUGUUUCUGUGUGGCCCAGAAAUUCCGAGGACUUUUCUCUCACAAAUCUUUUGUUUUUAAAUUUUAACUGUGACCUCAUGCCACAUUCACAAAAUUAACAAUUUUGGAGGUUUUAGCAAUUUUCCUCAGAUUGUGUGAUAUAUAAUUUAAAAUGUAAAAUCCAUAAACUCUCUGAAAACCCCCUUGAUAAUUGAUUAAUAAUGACGGUGGCCGGUGGGGACUUGAGUGAAAUAAACAGAAAGCUAGAUGGGACCGUAGUCAUAGUUGCAAAUAAAGUAGGGACCUAUACGUUUUCAUCCUUCCUUUUUUUUUUUUCCAUGAAAUAUCGAAAAUAAUCUAAAUUCAAAAUUACAUUGAGAAAUUGGAAGAAAUCUAAAAACAGGUCCGCUAUCAGCUUGUCUAUUUUGAUGAGUUCUCCAUCUUUCUCUGCCGUGAUAAUUAUAAAAUAUUAUCUUUUACUUUGUUGCAGCCAUAAAUGAUAAAUUUUAGACUUCCCAUCGCUGUUUUGCAGUUGUUCCAUGUUCGCAGAGCAAUAGAGUUUGGGAAUUUUAGUGAUUAUUUGCGUAUGUGAUCAUAAGUCUCGGGCUACUAAUCUUCACAGUUAAAAGCACAAUACAAUUAAUUCUGAAGAUUUUUAAUUCCUAUAUAUAGUCUUUUAAUAUUGUCAUAAGAUUAACGUAGAUUUUUUAAAACUGUA